Molecule: transfer RNA, 87 nt
Organism: Leptolyngbya sp. Heron Island J
Lineage: Bacteria; Bacillati; Cyanobacteriota; Cyanophyceae; Leptolyngbyales; Leptolyngbyaceae
Rfam family: tRNA
About the family: Transfer RNA (tRNA) molecules are approximately 80 nucleotides in length. Their secondary structure includes four short double-helical elements and three loops (D, anti-codon, and T loops).
Source: Rfam
GGAGAGAUGGCCGAGUGGUCGAAGGCGCAGCACUGGAAAUGCUGUAAUGGGGUGACUCAUUCGAGGGUUCGAAUCCCUCUCUCUCCG